UUUGGUGCCAGCAGCCGCGGUAAUUCCAGCUCCCAUAGCGUAUAUUAAAGUUGUUGCAGUUAAAAAGCUCGUAGUUGAAUUUCGGGGUUUAUCCGUUGGUCGGGCUUUUUGGUCUGUACUGGCGUGAUGGAUUCCUACCUUCUGAAUAACCGGCAUGCCAUUAAUUUGGUGCGCCGGGGAAGCAGGACUGUUACCUUGAAAAAAUUAGAGU
Molecule: ribosomal RNA, 211 nt
Filed under: uncultured Acaulospora
Lineage: Eukaryota; Fungi; Glomeromycota; Glomeromycetes; Diversisporales; Acaulosporaceae
Description: partial 18S ribosomal RNA
Rfam family: Eukaryotic small subunit ribosomal RNA
Source: RNAcentral